GCUCACCAACCCAAACUUAUAAUAUCCAAUUUUAGGCUUGGAUGGGCCUAAUCUCUAAAUUUUUUUUCUCCAAAAAAAUUUAUAAAGAAAAUAAAAUACAAGAAUAUGAAUUUCAGCACAAAUGAAAAAUAGAAAAGAUGAACUCUUUUAAGUCCGAAGAAGUUGCUGAUGAAUUGCACAAAAGAUGCUUCAACUUCUUUUGAAUGAUGCUUGAGAGGAUGUGGAAGAUAA
This 231-nucleotide long non-coding RNA is filed under the name Elaeis guineensis (African oil palm). Its description in RNAcentral is "long non-coding RNA (EGUI_LNC036475)". The record is from RNAcentral. Lineage: Eukaryota; Viridiplantae; Streptophyta; Magnoliopsida; Arecales; Arecaceae.